This is a long non-coding RNA of Betta splendens (Siamese fighting fish), 1671 nucleotides long. RefSeq lists it as uncharacterized. The record is from RefSeq and is a predicted model, not a curated record. NCBI's taxonomy places the organism in Eukaryota, Metazoa, Chordata, Actinopteri, Anabantiformes, Osphronemidae. The transcript is spliced from 2 exons.
AAAGCUCAUUGUCAACUGGUCGCAAUACUAUGGAAAUAGAGACAGUAUCAGUGACAAACUGAGGGAAUGAUGGAAAAAUCUAAUCAUGAAACAGGAAGACAGAAGGACAAAAAACACACUCAGAGCCACAAUAUAUCCAAAGCAGCCCCAGAAAAGAUGACUAUGGGCCGAGGGAAAGUCACAGCGGCCCAUUGGCCCAUGCCCUUGACACAUGAGCUCCAGAUGUCCCUGCGCUGAAGGUUCAUCCAAGGCUCCAUCCCCUUCCCUCUGCACCAGCUCACCUUGGACGAACACCAUUUCACCUCUAGGGGCAUAAUCCUCACCAACAACAACUGCUUUUAUAGAAUGGUUUAUCUCAAUUCAUGGCACUCAAGUACUUUCUCCAGCAGAAACAGCUCAAGCCAUGGUUCACAGCAUCUCAACAAUGCCCACAACAGUCUUUCACCAUAGGUCUGUGUGCACUUCAAGUUGUUUAUGGCUAUGCUGGUGUUGCCACGUGCUGCCCGAGAAAGUUUUGUAAGAUCCCGAGAUAGUUUUGGGAGAUCCCGAGAAACUUUUGCUAUAUGUGGACAGAGGAGCUACAAAGUAGGAGGACCGCUGGACGGAUGGUGGCGGAGUUGAGCGAAAGCAGAUGUGGAGAGCAGUGCGCAAACGGUGGAGUGAGAAAAACAAGACUUUGAAUUUUUAGCGAAUUUUUAGGUGGAGGCAAAACUGUGGGAUAUACAGUACAGUAGAUCAAAUCUCCAUACAGCAACAAGUGGUCGGCAAAGUUACCGAUUUUCGUGGGAAAACCACCUGUGGAGGGGCUGAGUCAUGGCAAAUAGUAGUGGGGGAACAUCAAAGGAAGAGGAGAUUGAUUUGUCAACAGUGGCUAGCAGUAGGAGAGAAGUGGGAAGGAAAAAACAUAACCACGGAUUAAGGGUAAAUAAAGGGAAAAGAGGGAUAAAGGAAGAAAAAGAAAAAAGAGAAGGAUGGAAAAAAACUCUGAAGGGGUUUAAGAUUAUAAUAAAUUCAAGAAGGGUGUCACGGUCUGGACUUUUGUUUUCCAUUUCCUGUGUUUAUAUUGACAUUUCCUGUUUUGGUUCCUCCGGGUUUUUAGUUCUCGCUUUACUUUUCUGAUCACAUGCUCCGUCAGCUGUUUCUGUUUAGUAAUUACGCUCAAGCACUCACCUGUUCCGUUUGCCAUAUUGUUUGUUCAUUCAUCCGUUCAACUCUCCAGCGCUCGUAACAAGUAAGUCCUGUCGUGUACCAGUCGUGGAUCGUGUUCUGACCUAGCCUUCCCUGUCCCCUGUCUGUACCGUUGCCUUUAUCGUGUUGACCUGUGUACUGACUUUGCCUGCCUGACCACAAGCCUGAUUAAACUCUCUCUUACCUGAGUCCAUGUGAGCUGUGUGUGUGGGUCUUUCCCUGUGAACUCUGACAAUCUGGCCACACUCGGACCCAGCCAGCCGUAAUCAGACAAAUGUUUUUCUUUUUCUUUUGCUUGUUUUUUUUCACCAUGCCGUUCACCUGGCCGGGAUUACCGGAGGACCUCCGUUGGUGCUUCACGAAGCUCGUGAAGGAAUAGCAUGAAAUGAAGGGAUUGUGUUUAAUAAAUGCUUUAGUUUUUCACAGUUUUAUGCAAUCUUUUUGUUCAACCCAUGGAAUUAAAGCUGAGAGUCUGCACUUCAA